CCUACGGGAGGCAGCAGUGGGGAAUAUUGGACAAUGGGCGAAAGCCUGAUCCAGCAAUGCCGCGUGAGUGAUGAAGGCCUUCGGGUCGUAAAGCUCUUUUACCAGGGAUGAUAAUGACAGUACCUGGAGAAUAAGCUCCGGCUAACUCCGUGCCAGCAGCCGCGGUAAUACGGAGGGAGCUAGCGUUGUUCGGAAUUACUGGGCGUAAAGAGUACGUAGGCGGUUAUUCAAGUCAGAGGUGAAAGCCCGGGGCUCAGCCCCGGAACUGCCUUUGAAACUAGAUAACUAGAGUCUUGGAGAGGUUAGUGGAAUUCCGAGUGUAGAGGUGAAAUUCGUAGAUAUUCGGAAGAACACCAGUGGCGAAGGCGACUAACUGGACAAGUACUGACGCUGAGGUACGAAAGCGUGGGGAGCAAACAGGAUUAGAUACCCUGGUAGUCCACGCCGUAAACGAUGAUAACUAGUUGUUCGGUCACUUGGUGUACUGAGUGACGCGAGCUACGACAUUAAGUUAUCCGUCCGUCGGGUAGGUACGGUCGUCGAGAGUUAAACGUACAAUAGAAGUUAGACGGUCGUGAGACGUUGUCCGACGGACGACGACGAGGGAGGAGG
This 612-nucleotide ribosomal RNA is filed under the name uncultured bacterium. RNAcentral's name for it is "bacterial SSU rRNA". The stretch from base 1 to 520 matches the Rfam family "Bacterial small subunit ribosomal RNA", at positions 338 to 873 of the family's 1533-position model. The record is from RNAcentral.